UUCAUUUAUGUAAUACGAGUUGAUUAAUUCUAUCCAUUAUUAUUAUUCAUUAUAUUGAUUGAAAUAGCAAUAGUAUAGUGAUAGUAAUAGUAAUGGUAAUAGUCGGAGUAGUAAGAGUUAGAGAAGAGAAAUAUAAAUAAUUUAAUAGGAGAAAAGAAGGUGAGAUUUAAUAAAAGAAUUUAUUUACGGAUAAGCGAAUUUUUGAUUUAUGUAAUACGAGUUGAUUAAUUCUAUCCAUUAUUAUUAUUCAUUAUAUUGAUUGAAAUAGCAAUAGUAUAGUGAUAGUAAUAGCAAUGGUAAUAGUCGGAGUAGUAAGAGUUAGAGAAGAGAAUCUAUUAUCAGCUUGCAGAAAUUUAAUAGGAGAAAAGAAGGUGAGAUUUAAUAAAAGAAUUUAUUUACAGAUAAGCGAAUUUUU
RNAcentral lists this unclassified non-coding RNA (415 nucleotides) under Bombus terrestris (buff-tailed bumblebee). RNAcentral describes it as "misc RNA ENSBTSG00005024954.1". Lineage: Eukaryota; Metazoa; Arthropoda; Insecta; Hymenoptera; Apidae. The record is from RNAcentral.